This is a long non-coding RNA of Pecten maximus, 868 nucleotides long. RefSeq lists it as uncharacterized. The record is from RefSeq and is a predicted model, not a curated record. The transcript is spliced from 2 exons. NCBI's taxonomy places the organism in Eukaryota, Metazoa, Mollusca, Bivalvia, Pectinida, Pectinidae.
AAAGGCGACAAGCCAUGAGCUGCAUCUUUGGUAGGGAUUCCAUCGAUCUGCUGGGUUGAUACAGAGUGUCCUUCCUCCUAGGUAUGAUACAGAGUGUCCUUCCUCCUAGGUAACAAAAACACACAAUGAUCAAUCUCAACAAAAAUGGGAACCAUGUUUGUGUAGUCCAAAUGGGAACCAUGUUUGUGUAGUUCAAAUGGGAACCAUGUUUGUGUAGUCCAAAUGGGAACCAUGUUUGUGUAGUCCAAAUGGGGACCAUGUUUGUGUAGUCCAAAUGGGAACCAUGUUUGUGUAGUCCAAAUGGGAACCAUGUUUGUGUAGUCCAGAAAGGUCAUUAUUACCUCGGAUUCAUCUUCCUUAACUUUUGUAAGUAUUGUCCCAAUAAGUGAAAAUGGUGGGGGAAAUGUACACAAACUUAUCCCAUACAGAAGAAAGGGCAUCCACUGCUUCAGCAUAUGGAUCAGGUUUCCAAGAAACAUAUCUUUAUAAUGGGUAGUUAAGUCUAGAUGCGAAUAAGUCUAGCUCAGGCAUUUCCCAAAUAUUCAAAAGCAUUUUGAAAUGUUUUGAUCUAUUUUCCACUCUGUGUUAUCAUGGUCUAAUCUGCACUCUGUUUCGGCCUCAAUAUGUGUACUACCAGGAAUAUGAGCAGCUGACAGCCAUAUAUCUCUCACUACACCACUCUCUCUACACCAAUGUCAGAUUUACCUGGCUAACAAAUCACACUAUGCAUGUCUGCCACCCAUAUGAUUAAUGUUACCUAUAGCUGUAGUGCUAUCUAAGUUCAUCCGUAUGUGCAUAUUUUUGAUUUAUGCUGCUUUGAGUUCAGGAUAGUUGAUAUGAUCAAUUAAUAAACCUUUUGACCAAUUAC